RNAcentral lists this ribosomal RNA (499 nucleotides) under uncultured bacterium. RNAcentral's name for it is "bacterial SSU rRNA". It matches the Rfam family "Bacterial small subunit ribosomal RNA", at positions 28 to 518 of the family's 1533-position model. The record is from RNAcentral.
AACGAACGCUGGCGGCGCGUUUAAGCAUGCAAGUCGAGCGGCAAGGGCCUUCGGGCCCCUAGAGCGGCGGACGGGUGAGUAACACGUGGACAAUCUGCCCCCCGGCCCGGGAUAGCCCAGGGAAACCUGGAUUAAUACCGGAUGAGACGGGACCCGCGAUGGCGGGAUCCGGGAAAGGCGCUGCGGCGCCGCCGGGGGAUGAGUCUGCGUCCCAUUAGCUAGACGGCGGGGUAACGGCCCACCGUGGCGACGAUGGGUAGCCGGCCUGAGAGGGUGGACGGCCACAUUGGAACUGAGACACGGUCCAGACUCCUACGGGAGGCAGCAGCUAAGAAUCUUCCGCAAUGGGCGAAAGCCUGACGGAGCGACGCCGCGUGAACGAAGAAGGCCGUGAGGUUGUAAAGUUCUUUUCGGGAGGGGGAACAACCGUGGCAGGGAAUGGCCGCGGGAUGACGUGAAUCCCGGAAUAAGCCCCGGCUAACUACGUGCCAGCAGCAGC